This 248-nucleotide unclassified non-coding RNA is filed under the name fungal sp. Its description in RNAcentral is "partial internal transcribed spacer region". The stretch from base 1 to 46 matches the Rfam family "Eukaryotic small subunit ribosomal RNA", at positions 1786 to 1831 of the family's 1831-position model. The record is from RNAcentral. Lineage: Eukaryota; Fungi.
AAGUCGUAACAAGGUAACCGUAGGUGAACCUGCGGUUGGAUCAUUAACAAUGACUCUACUCUGCCCUUGGGUGGAGUGGAAAGAGGGGACCCCCUUUUAAGGGUGGAAACCACGACCCACACUGUGCACUGUAUCUUGUCUUUGGACAGCGCUCGAAAGAGCAUGUCCGAGACACUUAGACCCCUCUCAAUAGCCUUGAUGAAUUUAGUAAUCAAAAACAACUUUUGACAACGGAUCUCUUGGCUCUC